This 587-nucleotide ribosomal RNA is filed under the name uncultured Pseudonocardia sp. RNAcentral describes it as "bacterial SSU rRNA". It matches the Rfam family "Bacterial small subunit ribosomal RNA", at positions 325 to 917 of the family's 1533-position model. The record is from RNAcentral. Lineage: Bacteria; Bacillati; Actinomycetota; Actinomycetes; Pseudonocardiales; Pseudonocardiaceae.
CGAAUUCGCCCUUCCUACGGGAGGCAGCAGUGGGGAAUAUUGCGCAAUGGGCGGAAGCCUGACGCAGCGACGCCGCGUGGGGGAUGACGGCCUUCGGGUUGUAAACCUCUUUCGACCUUGACGAAGCCUUUCGGGGUGACGGUAGGGGUAGAAGAAGCACCGGCCAACUACGUGCCAGCAGCCGCGGUAAUACGUAGGGUGCGAGCGUUGUCCGGAAUUAUUGGGCGUAAAGAGCUCGUAGGCGGUCUGUCGCGUCGGUCGUGAAAACUUGGGGCUUAACCCUGAGCUUGCGGUCGAUACGGGCAUGACUGGAGUUCGGCAGGGGAGACUGGAAUUCCUGGUGUAGCGGUGAAAUGCGCAGAUAUCAGGAGGAACACCGGUGGCGAAGGCGGGUCUCUGGGCCGAUACUGACGCUGAGGAGCGAAAGCGUGGGGAGCGAACAGGAUUAGAUACCCUGGUAGUCCACGCCGUAAACGGUGGGCGCUAGGUGUGGGGGCCAUUCCACGGUCUCUGUGCCGCAGCUAACGCAUUAAGCGCCCCGCCUGGGGAGUACGGUCGCAAGAUUAAAACUCAAAGGAAUUGACGGA